This 253-nucleotide ribosomal RNA is filed under the name uncultured bacterium. RNAcentral's name for it is "partial 16S ribosomal RNA". It matches the Rfam family "Bacterial small subunit ribosomal RNA", at positions 524 to 776 of the family's 1533-position model. The record is from RNAcentral.
UCCAGAGGGUGCGCGCGUUAAUCGGAAUUACUGGGCGUAAAGCGCACGUAGGUGGCGACGUAAGUCGGGUGUGAAAGCCCCGGGCUCAACCUGGGAAUUGCAUUCGAGACUGCAUUGCUGGAGUACGGAAGAGGAGGGCGGAAUUCCCGGUGUAGCGGUGAAAUGCGUAGAUAUCGGGAGGAACAUCAGUGGCGAAGGCGGCCCUCUGGUCCAGUACUGACACUCAAGUGCGAAAGCGUGGGGAGCACACAGG